AUUGAACGCUGGCGGAAUGCCUUACACAUGCAAGUCGAACGGCAGCACGGGGGCAACCCUGGUGGCGAGUGGCGGACGGGUGAGUAAAGCAUCGGAACGUAUCCUGGAGUGGGGGAUAACGUAGCGAAAGUUACGCUAAUACCGCAUAUUCUGUGAGCAGGAAAGCAGGGGAUCGCAAGACCUUGCGCUCUGGGAGCGGCCGAUGUCGGAUUAGCUAGUUGGUGGGGUAAAGGCCUACCAAGGCGACGAUCCGUAGCGGGUCUGAGAGGAUGAUCCGCCACACUGGGACUGAGACACGGCCCAGACUCCUACGGGAGGCAGCAGUGGGGAAUUUUGGACAAUGGGCGAAAGCCUGAUCCAGCCAUGCCGCGUGAGUGAAGAAGGCCUCGG
Molecule: ribosomal RNA, 390 nt
Filed under: uncultured bacterium
Lineage: Bacteria
Description: bacterial SSU rRNA
Rfam family: Bacterial small subunit ribosomal RNA
Source: RNAcentral